Molecule: long non-coding RNA, 1048 nt
Organism: Oncorhynchus tshawytscha (Chinook salmon)
Lineage: Eukaryota; Metazoa; Chordata; Actinopteri; Salmoniformes; Salmonidae
Source: Ensembl
UGAUCAUCCAAGCCAAUCCAAUCAGUCCAUCACUUCCCACCCAAAAACAGACCCAAAAACAGACCUUGUUUCAGUGGUCACCGAAACAAGAACAAUGUACACAGGUAACCAAGAAAAAGCGCUGUGAGAAGUCCUCUAAUUCAAAUAAAGUGACUUGAUUCCACCAAACAGAUUGACAAUACUGAGAACAAACACUAAGGUAAAACGCUCCCUAAAAUGCUCUUUCACUUACUUUGAAUUGUGUAGUUUCUAGCUGUUUUUAUACUGGAGGCUAGCUGUUAUGUGUGAUAAUGUUGAUUACAGAAAUAUAUAUACAUAUCAGUGAUACAUCAUUUGAAUAUGCCAGGGAAACUGAAGCUAGUUGCUCUCCUCUUGCUCAUUCAAGCAUGUGUGUCCAUAGUGGCCCAGACGCCAGCCCCAGAGGACUCUGUCUCUGAGGGGGUUCUGCAGAGGGCAUCAGAGACAUACAGGGCAGCCAAAGUUAAAGCCCAGAGAAUAAGAGAGGCGGUGCAGGCCUUUGCUGGUGCGUACUACGAGGACCACAUCAAACCAGUGGCUGAUCCCUACAUCUACAUGGACUGGGCCUCAGCCUCCACCAGUUCCUUCUGGGACAGAGUCAAGGAGAAGAUCGACCAGUACAGACCCAUCUAAUGGCAACUGAAUCUUAGGCAGACGAACACCCACCCAGCUCACUGCCAGCACAUAUACUCAUGCAAGGUGAUACUAGGACUGAUUCUAUGUUCAUAUGCACUAGGGAUUACAACUAGGACAUUUGUGUUACAAUGUUUCAGAAGAGCGCUUCAACACGGUUGUAUAAUUUGGCCGGUGAACGAGGACACCCGUUUACUAGUGUUUCAUCAACCACAGCACAAGGGUUGUGAUAGUUUUAAAACUGCCAUAGAGUGUAUUAGUAAUCAAACCAUUAUGGCUCACAUAUUGCAUCUAAGUGAGUCAAUUAACUAUUGUGAACCACCAAAUGAAUGAACACUAAAUAAAAUAAAUUGUACAAUUAUAGUGUUGUGCCUUUUCAUAAACUUUCCCUUGACAC